RNAcentral lists this ribosomal RNA (494 nucleotides) under uncultured bacterium. RNAcentral's name for it is "bacterial SSU rRNA". It matches the Rfam family "Bacterial small subunit ribosomal RNA", at positions 29 to 516 of the family's 1533-position model. The record is from RNAcentral.
AACGAACGCUGGCGGCGCGCCUAAUACAUGCAAGUCGAGCGAGAAGGUGUAGCAAUACACUUGUAAAGCGGCGAACGGGUGAGGAAUACAUGGGUAAUCUACCAUCGAGUGGGGAAUAACCAACCGAAAGGUUGGCUAAUACCGCGUACGCCUCCGGGUCUUCGGGUUCGGAGGGAAAGCUGCACUGUGAGUGUAGCGCUCUUUGAUGAGCUCAUGUCCUAUCAGCUUGUUGGUAGGGUAACGGCCUACCAAGGCUUUGACGGGUAGCUGGUCUGAGAGGACGAUCAGCCACACCGGCACUGCGACACGGGCCAGACUCCUACGGGAGGCAGCAGUAAGGAAUAUUGCGCAAUGGGCGAAAGCCUGACGCAGCGACGCCGCGUGGGGGAUGAAGGUCUUCGGAUUGUAAACCCCUUUCGGGAGGGAAGAUGGAGCGAGCAAUCGUUCGGACGGUACCUCCAGAAGCAGCCACGGCCAACUUCGUGCCAGCAGCC